Molecule: non-coding RNA, 592 nt
Organism: Rattus norvegicus (Norway rat)
Lineage: Eukaryota; Metazoa; Chordata; Mammalia; Rodentia; Muridae
Source: RefSeq, a predicted model, not a curated record
AGUGAGGUGAUUCAUUCUCUGCGGAUCUCUGGAGGACAAGUAGUGGGGAGCGCGUCGUUCUUACUGGCGAGAUGUUGGGUGCGCGACAGUAUAGUAUCCCACUGUGACUGGCUUCCCUCUGUGGCAUGGGUGAGGCAUGCUACCCAAAGGAAUGCUGUACAGCAAUGAGCAUGGAUGAUUUUUAAACUGCAUUCAGGAAUAGCGAUGACCCUCACAGGUAUGCAGCUACAUGGAAGAAGGCGUUACAAAUGUGACUGCAGGCGACUCCUUGCACCAUAAAGCAGACUGCAUGCACACAGAGGACGGCUGGUGUGAUGUCUGUUUUGUCCUGCUGCUCAUUUUAUUCUCCUGCAGAUGCCACUGUGUCUUAGUCACUAAAUCUUCAAAACAGACCAUUGCAUCUGACCAUCAUAGGCCCCCUGCUCUCCAGUUGCCUCUGUGGCUUUCAGCCUUCCCCAAUUCCCUCUAAGUUUUAGCUUUGGAUAAUCAACUAUUACACAAACCCCAGCUGGGGUUUGAUUGCGACAGCUCUUGUCUGGUUUUGGUCUUCCAAAUUAAUUUUGUUCUGUCAGGAUUAAAACAUAUCCCCUUG